CCUANGGGAGGCUGCAGUAAGGAAUAUUGCGCAAUGGGCGAAAGCCUGACGCAGCGACGCCGCGUGGGGGAUGAAGGUCUUCGGAUUGUAAACCCCUUUCGGGAGGGAAGAUGGAACGAGCAAUCGUUCGGACGGUACCUCCAGAAGCAGCCACGGCUAACUUCGUGCCAGCAGCCGCGGUAAUACGAAGGUGGCAAGCGUUGUUCGGAUUUACUGGGCGUACAGGGAGCGUAGGCGGUUCGGUAAGCCCUUUGUGAAAUCUCCAGGCUUAACCUGGAACAGUCGGAGGGGACUGCCGGGCUAGAGGACGGGAGAGGAGCGCGGAAUUCCCGGUGUAGCGGUGAAAUGCGUAGAGAUCGACUAGAACACCGGUGGCGAAGGCGGGUCUCUGGACAGUUCCUGACGCUCAGGCACGAAAGCCAGGGGAGCAAACGGGAUUAGAUACCCGUNUANUC
RNAcentral lists this ribosomal RNA (455 nucleotides) under uncultured bacterium. Its description in RNAcentral is "bacterial SSU rRNA". It matches the Rfam family "Bacterial small subunit ribosomal RNA", at positions 338 to 795 of the family's 1533-position model. The record is from RNAcentral.